UUGGGGGAAAAUUAGUAUAAAAAAAAUAAUAAAAAUAAUUUUAUUAAAAAUAUAAUAAUUGGGGGGUUAAAGUAUUUUUAAAAGAAAAAAUUUUAUAAUUUAUAGUAAAUUAGUAUUGUGAAAGAAAUUUGAAAUAAUUGAAAUAAAUUAAAUAAAAAGUAAAUUUAAUUUAUUGUAUCUUGUGUAUCAGAGUUUAUUUAAUAAAAAUUUUGUUAAAAAUAAUUCUCGAAUUUAAAAGAGUUAAUUAAUUAAAAAAUUUAUUGUAGCAAAAAUAUUUUUAAUAAUUAAUUAGAAAUGAAAUGUUAAUCGUUUUUAAAUAUAUCUAGUUUUUUUAGAAAAAAAUUUAAUUUUAAAUUUAAUUAAAUAAAUAAAUUUAAUUAAAAAAAUUUUUUUAAUGUUAAAUUUAGUAUUUUAAGGGAUAAGCUUUAAUUUAAAUUUUUAUAAAGAAAAAAAAAUUAUGAAAAUUUUAAAAUUUAUAUUUUUUAUAAAUUAUAGUUUUUUAUAAAUAAUUUCAUUAAUAUAUAAAAUUUAAUUAAUUUUAAUUUUUUAUAAAAUAAUAAAAUUUAAUUAUUUAAUUUUAGUUAUAAUGAUAAAAUUAGUAUAGAUAAUAAAUUGAAUAUUAUUAAUUUAAUUGAAAAAUUAAUAAUAAGGAAUUCGGCAAAUAUUUAUAUUCACUUGUUUAUCAAAAACAUGUCUUUUUGAAUAAUAAUUUAAAGUCUAAUCUGCCCACUGAUAAUAAUUAAAGGGCUGCAGUAUAUUGACUGUACAAAGGUAGCAUAAUCAUUAGUCUCUUAAUUGGUGACUUGUAUGAAAGAUUGGAUGAGAUAUAAACUGUCUUAUUAUUAUUUUUAGAAUUUAAUUUUUUAAUUAAAAAGUUAAAAUAAGUUUAAAAGACGAGAAGACCCUAUAGAGUUUAAUAUAAAUUUUAAUUAAAUAUUUAUUUAUUAAUUUUAAAUUUAAAUUAAAUUUUAUAUUUUGUUGGGGUGAUAAAAAAAUAGAAAUAACUUUUUUUAUAAAAAUUAAUAUAAAAUUUAUAUUAUAUUAUUAUAAACAUAAAUAAAUGAAUAAAUGAUCCAUAAUUUAUGAUUAAAAGAUUAAAUUACCUUAGGGAUAACAGCGUAAUUUUCUUUUUUAGUUCAAAUAAAAAAGAAAGUUUGCGACCUCGAUGUUGGAUUAAGAUAAAAUUUAAAUGCAAAAGUUUAAAAUUUUGAUCUGUUCGAUCAUUAAAAUCUUACAUGAUCUGAGUUCAAACCGGUGUGAGCCAGGUUGGUUUCUAUCUUUAAAAAUGAAAAAUAUUUCAGUACGAAAGGAUCAAAUAUUUAAAAUAAUUUUAAAAAAAGAAUUUUAUUAAUUUAAUUAUAUAGUUGAGA
Molecule: ribosomal RNA, 1370 nt
Filed under: Meiligma sp. GTI-94
Lineage: Eukaryota; Metazoa; Arthropoda; Insecta; Lepidoptera; Tortricidae
Description: 16S ribosomal RNA
Source: RNAcentral